RNAcentral lists this long non-coding RNA (723 nucleotides) under Capra hircus (goat). Its description in RNAcentral is "lncRNA (ENSCHIG00010018544.1)". The record is from RNAcentral. Lineage: Eukaryota; Metazoa; Chordata; Mammalia; Artiodactyla; Bovidae.
CCCAAACCUCACAUCAAACCUGUGAGGCAUGUAGCAGACGGUAUCCUCAACUUACCUCACCUGUGGGGAAAUCACUGCCAAGCAUCAGACCAGCUUAGUGGCCUGCCAACACUGUGAGCGCCUCCGCCACUAGCACAGACUGAGCAAGUGGGCACCUCUAGUUUGUUCUGCAACCACUUUGCAGACAAAGUGCAAAACAGAGUGCCCUCUAUCCCAGUUCACCAAGGAGAGAAAUGCGUUUUAAAAUGGCCCCGUGAGCCCUGUUCUAAGCAGCUAAGAUCAUCUUGAGGGAGUGGCAACUGUAUCCAUGGAAACAUUACAGCCCCGAGGGCAUCUGCAGGAUCUGCACGUGUGCUAAAUGCGACUGGUCAAGGGCGGGCGGGUCUGUCUGCGUCCAGAUGGGAUGAACGUGGCCAGGCCGCCAGGCUAAUGCUAGGCUGUUUCGUCUGCAUAAACCACACUGCGUCUUUUACUGAACGAUUACUCGGUAAUCACUCAGCUGGGGAGAGGGGAGGAGUGGGGUGGGGAGAUUGGUAACACAUAUCCAGCAGCUGAAUUAAGUCCAAAUCAUAUACUUUGGGGGAACUGUUUCCAUUUUGAGUGUCCUUCUCCUCCUUCUUGGGACGUUCCACUGAUUUACGGCUCACUGGGGUUUUAAUUUAGACUUUUGUCAGUUUUUCAAGGCAGACCUUUCCAAGUAACACAUCUAUCACCUAAAUAUAC